AAAUAUAAACACAGUAACAGAUAAAAAGAAAAAGAAAAGAGAGAGAUAACGGAACAAAACGGUCGAUCCCCAUGCUCAAAACAGACAUCAAGUGGCAAUUAGGGUUUUGGACAGAGAGAGAGAUCCAUCUUCAUCUUCAAAGACGUUUGAGUUAAAUAAGCACACAAGCAAACAAUUAUGGAGGAUGUGAAACCUAAAUCUAGAAAAAAUGAUUAUUUGGCACGGAAGGAGGAGAAAGAGGAUUCUAAGAGGAUUCAUCGAGAUAGAGACAAGCAGAGGAAUGGAGAGAGGCACAGAGACAGAGAGAAGAGAGAACGCGAAAACAGUAGGUGUUCCGAGAGAGACAAGAGUAGCGAUUCUGAUGACAAGGAAAGGGAGAAAGAGAAGCACAGAGUCAGAGGUAGGGAUGAUAGGGCAACAAGGAGUAGGGUUGAUGAUAGAGAGAGAGUUAAGGACAGGAAGAGAGAUAGAGACAGAGAAGAGAGAGACAGGGAGAGGGACAUAGCGAAAGAGGAGAAGAAGGAGAGGGAGAGGGAGAAGGAGAAGGAGAGGGAGAAGGAGAGGGAGAAGGAGAAGGAGAAGGAGAGGGUUAGGGAGAAAGAUAGAGAAAGAGAAAGUGGGAAGAGGGAACGUGAGAGGGAGAAAGACAGAGAAAGGGAGAGGAGGGAGCGUGACAGAGAAGAGCGAGAAAGGGAGAAGGGCAGGGAGAAGAGGGAGAGGAGGACCAGGGAAAGGGAGAAGCAUAGGGAAUUGAGUAGUGACAGUGAUGAUGACUCAGGGGAGCAUGAUAGUAAACUGCGAAGGAGAGACAAUGACGACUCCAAGGAGAGAGUGCAUGAGCAGAGCAUUAGCAGGUCAAACAGGCACAUGGAUAACAGUGAAGAGAGCCUAAGGAAAAAGAGUGGCAAGGAGGACGGUGAUAAGAACGAGAGUAAAACCCGAGAAGAUGAAUUAGAGGAGGAGCAGAAGAAAUUGGAUGAGGAGAUGGAGAAGAGGAGGAGAAGAGUCCAGGAAUGGCAAGAGCUGAGAAGGAAGAAGGAAGAAACUGAGAGUGAAAAGGGUGGGGAAGAAGCCAAUGUUGAUGAAUCUAAGAGUGGUAAAACCUGGACUCUUGAAGGAGAAUCUGACGACGAAGAAGCACCUCCCACUGGCAAAUCCGAUAUGGACAUUGACCAGGAGGAAAAUGCAAUACCUGAUAAAGAAGCUGGAGAUGCAAUGGUGGUGGACACUGAGAAUGACAUUUCUGCUCCACAAAGUGAGGUUGAUGCUGUUAAUGGGGAUGAGGAAAUUGAUCCAUUGGAUGCUUUCAUGAAUUCUAUGGUCUUACCUGAGGUUGAGAUGCUAAACAAUGCUGUGGUUACUCAGACUGCUGAUGAUAAUAAAGCAGACUCAAAGAAGAAAGAUAAGAAUGAUGAAGGAAUAAAUGGAGGACAGCGGAAGAAAGGCUCUCAUAAAUCUCUAGGGAGAAUUAUUCCUGGAGAAGAUUCUGAUUCAGACCACGGGGACCUUGAAAAUAGUGAAGUUCCUUUAGAAGAUGAGGAUGAUGACGAGUUCAUGAAGAGGGUGAAGAAAACAAAAGCUGAGAAACUGUCCAUUGUUGACCACUCAAAGAUUGAUUACAGUCCUUUCCGCAAGAAUUUCUAUAUUGAAGUGAAGGAGAUCUUGAGGAUGACUCCUGAGGAGGUUACUGCUUAUAGGAAACUACUGGAGUUGAAAAUACAUGGAAAGGAUGUGCCGAAACCAAUUAAAACUUGGCACCAGACAGGACUCACAAGUAAAAUUUUGGAGACAAUAAAGAAACUUAAUUAUGAGAAACCGAUGACAAUUCAAGCUCAGGCACUGCCUAUAAUUAUGAGUGGACGGGACUGCAUAGGCAUUGCGAAAACUGGUUCUGGUAAAACCCUUGCAUUUGUGCUGCCAAUGCUGAGGCAUAUCAAGGACCAGCCUCCUGUAGAAGCUGGAGAAGGACCGAUUGGGCUUAUAAUGGCGCCCACAAGGGAGCUUGUGCAGCAGAUCCACAGUGAUAUUAGGAAGUUUACUAAGGCCCUGGGUAUAAGAUGUGUGCCCGUUUAUGGAGGUUCUGGUGUAGCCCAGCAAAUUAGUGAAUUGAAACGGGGGACAGAGAUAGUUGUCUGUACUCCAGGCAGGAUGAUUGACAUACUUUGCACCAGUGGAGGGAAAAUCACCAAUCUUCGUAGAGUUACAUAUCUGGUUAUGGAUGAAGCCGACCGGAUGUUUGACAUGGGAUUCGAACCUCAAAUCACUAGAAUUGUCCAAAAUAUUCGUCCAGAUCAUCAAACUGUACUCUUUUCUGCCACUUUCCCUCGGCAGGUUGAAACUUUGGCUCGUAAAGUACUGAACAAACCUGUGGAAAUACAGGUAGGUGGGAGGAGUGUGGUGAAUAAGGACAUCAAUCAGCUGGUUGAGGUAAGACCAGAAGGUGAAAGGUGGUUUAGGUUGUUAGAACUACUUGGUGUAUGGAGCGAGAAGGGAAAAAUUUUGGUAUUUGUCCAAUCACAGGACAAAUGUGAUGCGUUGUUUAGGGACUUGCUGAAGUUUGGUCAUCCUUGCCUCUCACUUCAUGGGGCUAAGGAUCAGACGGACCGUGAAUCCACCAUUUCGGAUUUUAAGAGCAACGUCUGCAAUUUGUUGAUUGCAACAAGUGUUGCAGCCAGAGGCUUAGAUGUGAAGGAUCUAGAACUGGUGAUCAAUUAUGAUGUUCCAAAUCAUUAUGAGGAUUAUGUUCACCGUGUUGGUCGGACUGGCCGAGCUGGUCGCAAAGGCUGUGCCAUCACUUUUUUCUCCGAGGAUGAUGCAAGAUAUGCACCGGAUCUUGUAAAAGCAUUAGAACUCUCUGAGCAAGUUGUUCCACAAGACUUGAAAGCCCUUGCUGAUGGUUUUAUGGUGAAAGUGAAUCAGGGUCUGGAGCAAGCCCAUGGAACUGGUUAUGGUGGAAGUGGUUUUAAAUUCAAUGAGGAAGAGGAUGAAAAGAGAAUGGCGGCAAAGAAAGCACAAGCAAGAGAAUAUGGCUUCGAGGAAGAGAAGUCUGAUUCAGAAGAUGAAGAUGAAGUUGUUCGGAAGGCAGGUGGUGACAUCUCACAGCAGACUGCCCUUGCUCAGCAGAUAGCUGCUCUUGCUGCUGUCUCAAAAAUCCCUGCACCCGUGGCACCAACUCCUCACUCUGUUACUCAAUUUCUUUCUAAUGGUGGAUUACCUGUUCCUCUCAAUCAAGGUCCAGCAGUUGCAUCUGUGACUGGGCUGCCUUUUGCUCAUAGUAAUGAAGCUGCAGCCAGGGCAGCAGCAAUGGCAGCCGCCAUGAAUUUGCAACACAACCUGGCAAGGAUCCAAGCUGAUGCAAUGCCUGAACAUUAUGAAGCAGAGCUGGAAAUCAAUGAUUUUCCCCAAAAUGCUCGGUGGAAGGUUACCCACAAGGAAACUUUGGGCCCAAUUUCAGAUUGGACUGGUGCUGCCAUUACCACCAGGGGGCAGUUUUUCCCACCAGGCAAGGUGCCAGGACCAGGAGAUCGCAAGCUGUACCUGUUCAUCGAGGGCCCUACUGAGCAGUCUGUUAAGAGAGCUAAAGCUGAUCUAAAACAUGUUUUGGAAGACAUCACGAACCAAACAUAUCAACUUCCUGGUGGAGCUCAACCAGGCAAAUACUCGGUUGUAUAAGUGUAAGAGCUCAAUAAUAGCCUUCUUUCUUUCUUCUUUCUUCUUUCUUUUUUUUUUGCAUAUACAAUUGUGUUUGAUCUUUUUUUUUUUUUUUGUUUUUUUUUGCAUAUAUCUUUAUAACUUCUACUCUUGUAAUUUUUAAUUUCCUCCUUUUCUUUCUGGUUGAGUUUGGACUUGUAGGCAAUGCCUGAAUGGUAAUUAUCUUAGUUUGAAAAUUGUAAAGUUGCUGAUAUAUUUUUUCUUGACAAUAUGGAUUAUUUUGGUGCAUGGAAAUCGGGGAAGGAUUAGGAUAAUUGGUUCAUGGUGUUUCCCAAAAGCAUUGAGGGAUGAUGAGCCAAAAGCAAAUAACUGUUUCCUUUCUUGUUUAAAUAUGCCCCUCCUCUCAUGCAAUUUCAUAUCCUGUAGCUUCUCAAGUUAGCCAUAAGGUGUUAAAUUUGCUGUCCAUUUCCAUGUCUCUUUUCCAUUUUUUAAUUUGUGUUCUUUCUUUUUCUUCUUGUCCUCUCCCCAUGGCUCGAGGGAUGGUUUAAGCCUAUGCUGGCAUGUCCAAUGUAUUCUCUGCCCCCAUAACCUUUGGCUAUGAUGGCUGUUGAAGAGAUGGCGAUCUGGUCUGAGUAGUAAAGUUCUGGAAGCCACGUGUUACUGUGCUGACACUCUGAGGGGCUUACCCCUCCAAAUGAAGCAUGAACCUGCAUAGAAGGGUGGUAAUGGGCAACAAGGUUACUGUUGGUUUCACAACAUUUCUGAGAUAGAUUACAAGUUUCCUUGGAUUCUUUUUGACCUCGUAAACCACAAAUUAGAUUGUAAUCAGUGGUUCUUCCUGGAUUGGGUUGUCAGCUACUUCUGGCUGUUCAACUGUAAUGAAUCUGCAGCAGCAGCAGCGUAUAUUGUUUAGCUUGAUUAGUGUCCAGUAUGGAUUAGAAAUUAUUCAUGCUGAUAAGCCUUUGUGCUGCUAGCGGGUUUUGUUUUUUA
Populus trichocarpa (black cottonwood) is the source of this 4641-nucleotide RNA transcript. It is a transcript of the gene named DEAD-box ATP-dependent RNA helicase 42, with no coding region annotated. The record is from RefSeq and is a predicted model, not a curated record. The transcript is spliced from 3 exons. Lineage: Eukaryota; Viridiplantae; Streptophyta; Magnoliopsida; Malpighiales; Salicaceae.